RNAcentral lists this ribosomal RNA (253 nucleotides) under uncultured bacterium. Its description in RNAcentral is "partial 16S ribosomal RNA". It matches the Rfam family "Bacterial small subunit ribosomal RNA", at positions 524 to 776 of the family's 1533-position model. The record is from RNAcentral.
UACAGAGGGUGCAAGCGUUGUUCGGAAUUAUUGGGCGUAAAGGGCGCGUAGGCGGCUUUUCAAGUCAGGGGUGAAAUCCGGCAGCUCAACUGUCGAAGUGCCCUUGAUACUGAUGAGCUCGAGGGAGGUAGGGGUGUGUGGAACUUCCGGUGGAGCGGUGAAAUGCGUUGAUAUCGGAAGGAACGCCGGUGGCGAAAGCGACGCACUGGACCUCUUCUGACGCUGAGGCGCGAAAGCUAGGGGAGCAAACGGG